UUGUCCUUAUUGCCAGCACGUAAUGGUGGGAACUCUAAGGAGACUGCCGGUGACAAACCGGAGGAAGGUGGGGACGACGUCAAGUCAUCAUGGCCCUUAUGACCAGGGAUACACACGUGCUACAAUGGGACGUACAGAGGGUUGCUAAGCCGCGAGGUGGAGCCAAUCCCAGAAAACGUUUCGUAGUCCGGAUCGAAGUCUGCAACUCGACUUCGUGAAGUCGGAAUCGCUAGUAAUCGCGAAUCAGCAUGUCGCGGUGAAUACGUUC
RNAcentral lists this ribosomal RNA (268 nucleotides) under unidentified gamma proteobacterium groupE. RNAcentral's name for it is "partial 16S small subunit ribosomal RNA". It matches the Rfam family "Bacterial small subunit ribosomal RNA", at positions 1105 to 1373 of the family's 1533-position model. The record is from RNAcentral. Lineage: Bacteria; Pseudomonadati; Pseudomonadota; Gammaproteobacteria.